AUGCGAAGGCGGCGCUUCCGGCGGCGGCGCUCGGCGGCGGCCUCCUCGGGGGUGGCGAAGGAGAGGAAGCGGAGGCGGAAGGGGGCGGCGGCAGGGAAGGGAUGCAGGUAGGGUUUCAGGGAUUUGAGGUGGGAGAAAAGGGGCUUGGAGAGGGCCAUUUUCUUGGGGUUUUGCGUUGGCGACCGCCGCCUAGCGAGAGGAGAGGAGAGGAUAUUGUGAUUUGAGGGGUUCGGGGUAAGGAGAGGGUAUUUUGGUAGUUUGAUUGCAACAUGGAAGGCAAAGAUAGAUGGUGGCAUACCCGGUGAUGCAUUGCCCAA
This 317-nucleotide long non-coding RNA is filed under the name Elaeis guineensis (African oil palm). Its description in RNAcentral is "long non-coding RNA (EGUI_LNC000608)". The record is from RNAcentral. Lineage: Eukaryota; Viridiplantae; Streptophyta; Magnoliopsida; Arecales; Arecaceae.